GAUGAACGCUAGCGGCAGGCUUAACACAUGCAAGUCGAGGGGUAACAGGGAGUGCUUGCACUCCGCUGACGACCGGCGCACGGGUGCGUAACGCGUAUGCAACCUACCUUUUACAGGGGGAUAGUCAAGAGAAAUUUUGAAUAAUACCCCAUACGAUCUUAAUUACACCUGUAAUAAAGAGGAAAACUUCGGUGGUAAAAGAUGGGCAUGCGUCCUAUUAGUUUGAUGGUGAGGUAACGGCUCACCAUGACUACGAUAGGUAGGGGUCCUGAGAGGGAGAUCCCCCACACUGGUACUGAGACACGGACCAGACUCUUACGGGAGGCAGCAGUGAGGAAUAUUGGACAAUGGAGGCAACUCUGAUCCAGCCAUGCCGCGUGCAGGAAGACUGCCCUAUGGGUUGUAAACUGCUUUUAUACAGGAAGAAACACUCCCUCGUGAGGGAGCUUGACGGUACUGUACGAAUAAGGAUCGGCUAACUCCGUGCCAGAAGG
RNAcentral lists this ribosomal RNA (494 nucleotides) under uncultured bacterium. RNAcentral's name for it is "bacterial SSU rRNA". It matches the Rfam family "Bacterial small subunit ribosomal RNA", at positions 28 to 515 of the family's 1533-position model. The record is from RNAcentral.